This is a long non-coding RNA of Monopterus albus (swamp eel), 1816 nucleotides long. RefSeq lists it as uncharacterized. The record is from RefSeq and is a predicted model, not a curated record. Lineage: Eukaryota; Metazoa; Chordata; Actinopteri; Synbranchiformes; Synbranchidae. The transcript has 4 exons.
ACUAAAACGCUGUUCAGAGAGCAACUAAAUACACAAUAUGCUACAACACUACUAACUCUCAAAACAACUAACGACAACAACAGCAACAAACCAACCUGCUCUGCAAAGAAAAAUUCAGCGGAGGUGACAGUGGCGCGGUGGGUCGAGCAUCAACCGGAAAUUUGGAGGUUCGAAUCCCGGUGCCUACCGUCCACGUGUGAAAGUGCACUUGGGCAAGACACUGAACUCCCCCCGUCGCCCGUGAUGGGCCCUAGGCUCCAAACAUAGUUUCGUUGUACGUGAUAAAUAGUUAGUUUCUCCAGUGGUUGGCGCCGGAAAUACUGUUUAACAAAUGUUUACCAACGAAAAAGAAGACAAACGUGUUGCUGUGUGAGGUGAAACCAAAGCAGGCUUGGUCGAGCCAUGAGGAAGGUGCUUGUGGAGAGCACGACACCCCAUUGCUCUUUCCACCCGGUUGCCCAGCUGGUGUCACGGAGCACGUUGGAUGAUGGAGCACUCUCAUUCCGAGUUGAAAGAAUGCUGAAGCUUCUCGCGCUCGUGUCUGGGGUUGGCUAAUGAAGAAACGUCACCCAGUGCAGCAGUGUGUUUCACUGAUGUUUUUCAUCAUAUCAAGGUCUAUGGCACAGACGAACAAGCUGAUUGAGGACUGACAGACGUUCACUACUCAUCCACUUCAUAUUCUUGGUGAAAAUGAUUGGGCUGACUGUGCAAGACCCCAGCAAUAUGGCUUCCCAUUAAAUCACAAAGUAUGAAGUGAAGUGUGAAAUUAACUGAUGCGAUGACAUGUCAAGAUUGUUGAGGAGUGAAGAGAAUGGUCUAUAACAAUCCAUGGACGGUGUUUGCAUCCAUUUAAGCAAGGAAGUCUAUGUGACCUAAAACAAUAAUGUGGGAGUACAGUAGUGGAAAAGUGAGGACGGUUUGGUAACGUUUCCAUUUUGUGCUGUCUUACUAAGAGUUGGUGGGUUUAUUGGUACACAGUUUGUGUUGUGGCCACCUUUUACCUGUUGAGUUUGGUGGUGUUAGUCAUCCCACCCCAGUACUGCAAUAACAGCCCAACACUUUGCAAACCUGUAUUAGGAACAGUAUUCCUCCAAGGCGCUGCAUUUAACGUAACAAAACUUAACAUGUUGACAGUUAUUUUGUUCCGACAAAUCACCUUCUGUUAUACAGUGUAGUUUAAAAUAGACAAUCUGCGGGCAGUGUGUGCCUGCCACUCACACACAUGUAGGCACAGCAUCUCCAGAUAAGUGCGAUCUGUUGUCCUUUUGUGGUUUAAACCAAUUUGUAUACAAAGAGAUAAGUGUGUUCAAAUGGGCGCUGUUGGCAGAUUUGUAGCAGGAAAAUGUGAGGCAUACCCCAGAGAUUCAAGGGCAGAUGAACAUCAUAAGACUGUUUACAGGUACAAGUCUGUUUAAAUUUGAGCAUAGUAAGAAUCUAACUGAUGCUGAAUACUGUCAUUAUCCUAAAUGUCACUUUAAGUAGAGUCCAAGUAAGGUUAUGUUACCAUAGGGUUGAGGCAUCCUGACCCACUAACAUGGCAACUGCUGCUGCUUUGAUUCUUUUUCACUGCACAUAUGUGUCUUUGUCUUCAUCCCUUAUAACUUAGUCUUUUGGUUGAAAAGCAGCCAAGCUUUUUUAUAAUUACCACCGUAACAUAAGCUAUGCAUAGCUUAUGUUACGGUGGUAAUUAUGACAUAAUGAUGUGCACUCAUUGGCUAUUUAGUGACACACAUCAUUGCAUAAUCGGUGGGAAGAAUCUAAACAGCAGCUGCUGCUGUGAAAAUAAUGACACCUUGAAAUCACAUUGUCUGCAUGA